UCGGGAAUCUUGGUCAAUGGGGGAAACCCUGAACCAGCAACUCCGCGUGAGGGAUGAAGGCCUUCGGGUCGUAAACCUCUGUCAGAAGGGAAGAAAAUGGUCGUUUCAAAUAGGUUCGAUCACUGACGGUACCUUCAAAGGAAGUGCCGGCUAACUCCGUGCCAGCAGCCGCGGUAAUACGGAGGGCACAAGCGUUGUUCGGAAUUAUUGGGCGUAAAGCGGGUGUAGGCGGCUUUGCAAGUCGGAUGUGAAAUCCCUGGGCCCAACCCAGGAACUGCAUUCGAUACUGCAUCGCUAGAGUCCCGGAGAGGAUGGCGGAAUUCCAGGUGUAGAGGUGAAAUUCGUAGAUAUCUGGAGGAACACCAGUGGCGAAGGCGGCCAUCUGGACGGUGACUGACGCUCAGACCCGAAAGCGUGGGGAGCAAACAGG
RNAcentral lists this ribosomal RNA (430 nucleotides) under uncultured bacterium. RNAcentral's name for it is "bacterial SSU rRNA". It matches the Rfam family "Bacterial small subunit ribosomal RNA", at positions 355 to 776 of the family's 1533-position model. The record is from RNAcentral.